GACGAACGCUGGCGGCGUGCUUAACGCAUGCAAGUCGAACGGAAAGGCCUCUUUCGGGGGGUACUCGAGUGGCGAACGGGUGAGUAACACGUGAGUAACCUGCCCUUGACUUUGGGAUAACUUCAGGAAACUGGGGCUAAUACCGGAUAGGAGCUCCUGCUGCAUGGUGGGGGUUGGAAAGUUUCGGCGGUUGGGGAUGGACUCGCGGCUUAUCAGCUUGUUGGUGGGGUAGUGGCUUACCGAGGCUUUGACGGGUAGCCGGCCUGAGAGGGUGACCGGCCACAUUGGGACUGAGAUACGGCCCAGACUCCUACGGGAGGCAGCAGUGGGGAAUAUUGCACAAUGGGUGGAAGCCUGAUGCAGCAACGCCGUGUGCGGGAUGACGGCCUUCGGGUUGUAAACCGCUUUCGCUCAUGACGAAGCUUUGUGUGACGGUAGUGGGUAAAGAAGCACCGGCUAACUACGUGCCAGCAGCCGCGGUGAUACGUAGGGUGCGAGCGUUGUCCGGAUUUAUUGGGCGUAAAGGGCUCGUAGGUGGUUGAUCGCGUCGGAAGUGUAAUCUUGGGGCUUAACCCUGAGCGUGCUUUUGAUACGGGUUGACUUGAGGAAGGUAGGGGAGAAUGGAAUUCCUGGUGGAGCGGUGGAAUGCGCAGAUACCAGGAGGAACACCGGUGGCGAAGGCGGUUCUCUGGGCCUUUCCUGACGCUGAGGAGCGAAAGCGUGGGGAGCGAACAGGCUUAGAUACCCUGGUAGUCC
This 756-nucleotide ribosomal RNA is filed under the name uncultured bacterium. RNAcentral describes it as "bacterial SSU rRNA". It matches the Rfam family "Bacterial small subunit ribosomal RNA", at positions 28 to 796 of the family's 1533-position model. The record is from RNAcentral.